Molecule: non-coding RNA, 113 nt
Organism: Acanthosepion pharaonis
Lineage: Eukaryota; Metazoa; Mollusca; Cephalopoda; Sepiida; Sepiidae
Source: the annotation of a GenBank genome assembly
UACGGCCACAUCAUGUUAAAACACCGGUUCCCGUACGAUCACCGGAGUUAAGCAACAUCAAGUAUAGUUAGUACUUAGAUGGGCGACCACUUGAGAAUAAUAGGUGCUGUAAG